Molecule: long non-coding RNA, 1512 nt
Organism: Astyanax mexicanus (Mexican tetra)
Lineage: Eukaryota; Metazoa; Chordata; Actinopteri; Characiformes; Acestrorhamphidae
Exons: 6
Source: RefSeq, a predicted model, not a curated record
CGAGGGAGUGUGAGAGAAAGGUGGGGGCGAGAAGAGAGGAAGGGAGCGAGGGAAAGAGCAAACAGGGAUUAGCAGAAGAGAGUGAGAGAGAGGAAGGAGUAUCCUUGAGCUGCAGGUUACACAUAGAACAGCACAGCAGUCUCAGCAAGUGAACCGCUGGCUGGAAUAUCACAGGUUGCAGAGCCUCAUCUGAUUGAUCUGCUCUUGAGAGACGACCACAGCCAUGGAACAAGCUGAGAAUAAAGUUUCAGCCACCUCCCCACAAAAGCAGACGGUCAAAAACAGGUCCAAGUCUACAGACGAGGUGCAGCAAGCCAAGAAGGCCUUUCACACACCACAGAAGUCUCUUCCAGCGAAGCCAGAGACAGAGAGGCUGGAGGAGACCGCAGAGCUAAGCGCUUCAUCAGAGGAGCUGAAAUGAUGGCAGCGCUCACGCCGGGGUGACGGGGAUAUAGAUAGAUUGGAAGAAAAUAUGUCUUGUUUAUAUCACUGUAACAAACAGCAAUGACAUUUUAAUGUAUUAUUCAUUAGCCAGACUAAAGAACAGAGCACGUCAAAAUUCAGCUGCGCGACGGAGGAUACCGGCUUUAAGGGCCUCUUUCCCUCUCAGACUUAAGACUUACUCCCAGCCUAAACAGAUGCUUAUAGUAGACAGUCAUCAGCUCUAAUUAUAUGCUUUGUUUUUUACCCUUUUUUAUAUGUAUUUAUUUAUAUAUUUAUUUAUUGUGUCAUUAAUGUUUGAACAAAAUACUUUAACAAACUGCUUUGAAGAAAAAAGAGAAUUGUUGGACCAACUUAAACAAACAAAACAAAACUUAAAUUGUUAAAAUGUAAUUCAAUUAAUAAAACAAGUGGAAUAAACACAGUAGUUUUAAAUUAGUUUUUAAAUUAACAGUUAAAUGGUUAAACCAUUAAAGAUGGAACUAAAAGGGUAACUAAACCCCCCUUAUUUUUGCUGACUCCACCCUCAGCUCAAUUUAGAAAUAGACUAAAAAAAUGUGAGGGGUGUUUUGAGAGGGAGACUGGGUGAUGUAUGGGUUUAGAGGCAGGGCAGGAGGGAGAGCUGAUUGGCUGAGCUGCAGCAGCAGCAGUGUGCCUCUGAUAAAGUACACGGACGCAUCAUUGUUGUCUACAAUGAUAGUUGAACCUGAGAGAGCACUGCAGAGGCGAAAAUUAACACAAUAAAAAACAAUAUUUUUUUUUAAAGCAAUUUAAGCCGGACGGGUGUGUUUCAUAAUAAAACAUUAAUUUUACUACACAAACAUAAGACAAACUGUUACCAUAUUUGAUUGAAAUAUGUGUAUCUCCACUAUUAAUUUUUGAGUUUAUCCCACAUUUCUGUAGUAUUUAAGUUAGGACAACUUAAUUGAUUCAAGUACUAGGGCUUAGAUUUCACACCGUUCUUAUUCAGAAUAUUACAUUACUUUAACUACUGCCCUUUUUCAGUUUGAAAGAAUCCUUAUUCAUUUUUUAGAAGCAAACCCAGUCAUUUUAAAUGUUAAAAAGUUUCUU